CCUACGGGGAGCAGCAGUGGGGAAUAUUGGGCAAUGGGCGCAAGCCUGACCCAGCAACGCCGCGUGAAGGAAGAAGGCUUUCGGGUUGUAAACUUCUUUUGACAGGGAAGAGUAGAAGACGGUACCUGUCGAAUAAGCCACGGCUAACUACGUGCCAGCAGCCGCGGUAAUACGUAGGUGGCAAGCGUUGUCCGGAUUUACUGGGUGUAAAGGGCGUGUAGCCGGGUUGACAAGUCAAAUGUGAAAUCCUGCGGCUUAACCGCAGAACUGCAUUUGAAACUGUUGAUCGUGAGUACUGGAGAGGCAGACGGAAGUCCUGGUGUAGCGGUGAAAUGCGUAGAUAUUAGGAGGAACACCAGUGGCGAAGGCAGUCUGCUGGACAGCAACUGACGGUGAGGCGCGAAAGCGUGGGGAGCAAACAGGAUUAGAUACCCGAGUAGUC
RNAcentral lists this ribosomal RNA (442 nucleotides) under uncultured bacterium. RNAcentral describes it as "partial 16S ribosomal RNA". It matches the Rfam family "Bacterial small subunit ribosomal RNA", at positions 338 to 795 of the family's 1533-position model. The record is from RNAcentral.